This 334-nucleotide long non-coding RNA is filed under the name Nicotiana benthamiana. RNAcentral's name for it is "long non-coding RNA (NBEN_LNC008794)". The record is from RNAcentral. Lineage: Eukaryota; Viridiplantae; Streptophyta; Magnoliopsida; Solanales; Solanaceae.
UUAGUUUCAAUUCCUUGUCUUCUCUCGCAUUUUUCUGGGGAUUUCGGAGUUUGGUGGAGUUGUAGAACUUGUUUCGAAGCAGAGAGUUUGAUUCGAACUCAAAUCUCUGUUAGAUACCGCUGAUUUUGCCAUUUUGGGAAAUGUCGGUCAUGUUCGUCUCGGAUUUCAGUCAGUUUAUUCAAUUUUUUUAUUCAACCAGUUUAGCGAUGGAGUUUGAUUGAGUUGGGCCAUUCCGAGCUGUCCGUGGCUGCUGUUCGAGUUCUGCUUUUGAUCGGGUUUUGAUUUGUUGUUCGUUGGUUGUUGCUGUUCUUCUAAAAGCUUUUAAACAUCUGGA